This 76-nucleotide transfer RNA is filed under the name Fowleria isostigma. RNAcentral's name for it is "tRNA-Leu". It matches the Rfam family "tRNA". Rfam says of the family: Transfer RNA (tRNA) molecules are approximately 80 nucleotides in length. Their secondary structure includes four short double-helical elements and three loops (D, anti-codon, and T loops). Further hydrogen bonds mediate the characteristic L-shaped molecular structure. tRNAs have two regions of fundamental functional importance: the anti-codon, which is responsible for specific mRNA codon recognition, and the 3' end, to which the tRNAs corresponding amino acid is attached (by aminoacyl-tRNA synthetases). tRNAs cope with the degeneracy of the genetic code in two manners: having more than one tRNA (with a specific anti-codon) for a particular amino acid; and 'wobble' base-pairing, i.e. permitting non-standard base-pairing at the 3rd anti-codon position. Lineage: Eukaryota; Metazoa; Chordata; Actinopteri; Kurtiformes; Apogonidae. The record is from RNAcentral.
GUUCGGGUGGCAGAGACCGGUAUUAAUGCAAAAGUCUUAAGCUCUUUCCACAGGGGUUCAAGUCCCCUCCCUAACU